AGAAAAUAGGAGGAGAAGCAAGAACCAAAGCAGAGCGGAAGAAGAAGAAGGAGAUUCUGAAGGCUAAGCAGAGAGCAGAUAUUAUCAGACAGACAGGGAAGCUUCCCCUUGCUUGCUGCUGCUGCUGCUGAUGAACAUUGAUAGCUAUGUUGAUCUUCUCUUAUUUUGUACGCUUAACUACUGAAUGAAUGCUUUGAGAACAAAAGUAAUCAAUAAUUCAAGUUUCUGUCAGAUGGGUUUUCUGUUUUAGUGUGUGUGUGUGUGUGUGGUAGGUAGAAGAAGCGGCUCUCUAUAGCGCUGCGCGUCCCUACUCUUGAUGCCGUCCAUUAAUCACUCCCAUUCAAGAUUCACGCUCCUUUACUCCUUACUAUAUAGCCCUUUCUACUACUUCCCUUCAUUCAACCUCCGGAAAUGUCAACUUCCGAUCAGCCCUCCGGCGACCUCACCCAUGUUGCUCUGUUCCCAAGUGCUGGUAUGGGCCAUCUUGUUCCCUUUCUCAGACUGGCUGCCGCUCUCCUCCGUCAUCACUGCAAGCUUACCCUCAUCACUUCUCAUCCUGCCGUCUCUUCUGCUGAGUCGCAACUCAUUUCCCGAUUCCUCUCUGCUUUCCCCCAAAUCACUGAGCUCAAGUUCCAUAUCGUACCUCUUGACCCUCUUGUCGCGAACUCCGAUGACCCUUUUUUUCUUCAAUUUGAAGCCAUUCGUCGAUCGGUUCAUCUUCUCACUUCUCCCCUUUCUGCCCUCUCUCCGCCUCUGUCCGCCCUUGUCUGUGAUGUGAGCUUGAUUUCCUCUGCUCUUGCGCUUUCUGCGACCCUUAAGAUACCCAAUUACGUGCUCUUCACCUCCUCUGCUAUAAUGUUUUCUCUCUUUGCCUAUUACCCGUUUGUUAAAAUGUCUGACCCAUCUGGCGAUUUGAUUCACAUUCCUGCGAUUGGGUCAAUUCCCAAAACGUCGCUCCCUCCUCCCCUGCUUGUCGAUAAUAGCAUCUUCAAGAAAAUUUUUACGCAAGAUGGUCGCAGGAUCAAAGAACUGAAUGGGGUUUUGAUCAAUGCGAUGGACGCAAUGGAAGGAGAUACUGUCGCUGCACUCAACAGUGGGAAGGUACUGGAUGGAUUGCCGCCAGUGGUACCCAUAGGACCAUUGCUGCCAUGUGAGUUUGAGAAUCCAGAGGGGAGGUCUCCCAUAAAAUGGCUGGAGAAGUUACCUCCCAGAUCGGUGGUUUUCGCGAGCUUCGGCAGCCGGACCGCCGCUUCAAGAGAGCAAAUCAAAGAGAUCGGAAUUGGGUUGGCUUCGAGUGGGUACAAAUUCCUGUGGGUAGUGAAAGAUAAAGUGGUGGACAAGGAAGACAAAGAGGGGUUAGAGGAGGUAGUGGGGGAAGAACUGAUGGAGAAAUUGAAGGAGAAGGGGAUGGUAUUGAAGGAAUGGGUAAAUCAGGAGGAAAUUUUGGGGCACAGAGCGGUGGGUGGGUUUGUGAGCCAUUGUGGGUGGAACUCGGUGAUGGAAGCGGCGUUGAAGGGGGUGCCAGUUUUGGCGUGGCCUCAAAACGGGGACCAGAUGAUCAAUGCAGGAUUGGUUGCAAAGAAAGGGGUUGGAAUGUGGGUUGAAAAAUGGGGAUGGGGCCAUAAAUGUGUGGUGAAGGGCGAGGAACUUGGUGGGAGGAUUAAGGAGCUGAUGGAGAGUGAUGUCUUGAGAGCACGAGCUGCAGAGCUUAAAGAGGAGGCGGCGAAGGCUGUGGCUGUGGGAGGAAGCUGUGACAGAGCAAUUGAAGGGCUGAUUGGAAGGUGGAGCAAGGGCGUCUGAAGAAGGGCUGUUCAAAGAGGGCAAGCGGCAAAAGACCUCAGUCACAUCCCUCAUCGAGACCACACAAGGACAAAGCGGGGGUGGGAGUUGAUUUAAGGGAGCUUACUGGUUGAGGAAGCAAGAAGGAGCUCGGGUUGUCAAAGGGAGAAGCUGUCGAAGAUUUGAGACCAAAAACCACGCUCGCUAGAGGAACUCACGCUCUACAGUCACAGGCGUUCGACGAUUGAUUUUGAACUGAAACAAACCAAAACGGAAAAUCGGACGCCCAAAGAACAUUUAGAUUCAUGAGAGGACAAUCUACGUCUUUAUCGCAGAAAGCAACUAGAGUUAUGUCCAAUUCAACGAGAAACGAAUGCGAGAAGGUUUGAGUUACAAAUGGUAUCAGAGCCAGACACUAGGUGGUGUGCUGGCGAGGACGCUAGCCUCCGAGAGAGG
Cucurbita pepo subsp. pepo (vegetable marrow) is the source of this 2235-nucleotide non-coding RNA. The record is from RefSeq and is a predicted model, not a curated record. NCBI's taxonomy places the organism in Eukaryota, Viridiplantae, Streptophyta, Magnoliopsida, Cucurbitales, Cucurbitaceae.